RNAcentral lists this ribosomal RNA (253 nucleotides) under uncultured bacterium. RNAcentral describes it as "partial 16S ribosomal RNA". It matches the Rfam family "Bacterial small subunit ribosomal RNA", at positions 524 to 776 of the family's 1533-position model. The record is from RNAcentral.
UACGUAGGGGGCUAGCGUUGUCCGGAAUCAUUGGACGUAAAGAGCGUGUAGGCGGCCCGGUAAGUCCGCUGUGAAAGUCGGGGGCUCAACCCUCGAAUGCCGGUGGAUACUGUCGGGCUAGAGUGCGGAAGAGGCGAGUGGAAUUCCUGGUGUAGCGGUGAAAUGCGCAGAUAUCAGGAGGAACACCAAUUGCGAAGGCAGCUCGCUGGGACGUAACUGACGCUGAGACGCGAAAGCGUGGAGAGCAAACAGG